RNAcentral lists this ribosomal RNA (301 nucleotides) under uncultured bacterium. RNAcentral's name for it is "partial 16S ribosomal RNA". It matches the Rfam family "Bacterial small subunit ribosomal RNA", at positions 509 to 807 of the family's 1533-position model. The record is from RNAcentral.
CAGUCGCCGCGGUAAAACGUAGGUGGCAAGCGUUGUCCGGAAUUAUUGGGCGUAAAGCGUGCGCAGGCGGUUUUGUAAGACAGGCGUGAAAUCCCCGGGCUCAACCUGGGAAUGGCGCUUGUGACUGCAAAGCUAGAGUGCGGCAGAGGGGGAUGGAAUUCCGCGUGUAGCAGUGAAAUGCGUAGAUAUGCGGAGGAACACCGAUGGCGAAGGCAAUCCCCUGGGCCUGCACUGACGCUCAUGCACGAAAGCGUGGGGAGUAAACAGGAUUAGAUACCCCGGUAGUCCCUGUCUCUUAUAC